GAUGAACGCUGGCGGCGUGCCUAAUACAUGCAAGUCGAACGGAGGAUGUAGCAAUACUUCCUUAGUGGCGAACGGGUGAGUAACGCGUUGGUGACCUGCCCCGAAGAGGGGGAUAACAGUUCGAAAGAAUUGCUAAUACCCCAUGUGGUCAUCAGGGUUUGAUACCUGAUGAUUAAAGGAGUAAUCCACUUCGGGAGGGGCCUGCGUCCCAUCAGCUAGUUGGUAGGGUAAUGGCCUACCAAGGCGAUGACGGGUAGGGGACCUGAGAGGGUGGCCCCCCACAAUGGAACUGAAACACGGUCCAUACAUCUACGGGUGGCUG
Molecule: ribosomal RNA, 322 nt
Filed under: uncultured Chloroflexota bacterium
Lineage: Bacteria; Bacillati; Chloroflexota
Description: bacterial SSU rRNA
Rfam family: Bacterial small subunit ribosomal RNA
Source: RNAcentral